AAAAGCAGAAAAUCUAACUCAGCUUCUGGAAGUUCUCGUCUCUAGUGGACUCCGGAGUCAUCUCCUGAGCUGUCAGGUUUUGGCUGUGAGGCACGGGUGGGAUCUUGGCUGCCUGACGAGGGAUCUAACCCCUUGGUGGAUCUAACCUCCUGCAUUGGAAGGUGAAGUCCAACCCUUUAGACCACCAGGGAAAUCUCUGUAUUCGACUUCUUAACUGCCAAGAUGUUGUUUCCUUUUUCCUUAAGGUAGAGAAAAGACGUGAAAGAAGGGCAUUUCCAAACCGUAGCCUGACACAGUGACCAUGACUAUGGGAGAUGGCUAAACUGCAGACCUUCCUGAACUCAGAGCUAUUUUGCAAAAGCAACUUUCCUUCCAGGUAUUAUCUUUUCCUUGACUGGAACAGGAAGAUUAAGUCAUUAGCUUCAAAUCUUUUAACCAGCACAUGGUGAAGACUAGAUUCCGACCCAGUCCUGCCUGACCCCAGAGCCACACCCUUAGCUUCCAGGUGAUGCAGCUUCACAGCCUGGUUGCCCCCCAGGAGUGAGUCAAUAAAAAUUCCAUUAUGCAGAUAAGCACUGCGCUGCAACGGGGACGUGUGCCGUUCUUUGGAGAUCACAGAAAAGAGUAAAGAAAACUUUUUUGCCUUUCAGUCCUUUAGACUAAAGAAAAUUCUUGACUAACUUAUUUUCAAAGACUCAAAUAUAAAUUUCAACCAUGAAUCUUCCAAGGGUUUGAAUGCAAAUGUCAAAACAUAAGGUGUCGCGCUCUCCGCCUGAUGCUCUGCGAUGACCUAGAGCAGUGGGAUGGGGGCGGGGUUUAAAGGGAGGCUCAAGAGGGAGGGGGUAUAUGUAUACCUAUAGCUGAUUCCCAUUGUUGUACGGCAGAAAUUCAUACACGACACUGUAAAGCAAUAAUUCUCCAAUUACAAAAAUAAAAACAGAAGGUGUGCUCUGAUUCUCCUUAUGUUGGACACCAAGGAGUUAGAACCUGGAUUCCCUUAGCAUCGAGACAUUUCUUGAAAGGUGCUGGAUACAUCAUUUUCAUCCUGUUAUUCUUGGUUUCUUUCAUUGGCACUCUUCUCACUAAGCCCGCUUCUCUAGAAACCGACCAAGGGAACAGCCACCCCAAGUGUGUGUCGUGUUUAUAACCUCCAUAUCUGGAAAGUCCAUCAGACUUGUGAUAUUUGCCUUUCUCCUUAAGGCUGGUCAUGUGAUCUUCCUGUAAAGGAAGCCUGGACUAAUCCAGUCAGAAGAUCUGGGAGGAACAAAGGGUGUCUUGGAGAAGAAGAUAGGAGAGAGGAAAUGGGCGAUAGGAGAAAAAGAAUGGAAAGGACAGAAGGUGAAGUGCUGUCUGGAGGAACUUCCUAAAUCAUCACCUAAGCUUAUCUCUAAUGUUUACAAUGCUGAUUAAGGUUCCUUUGCAACUCAGCAGCAGAAGGAAAAAUAUAUGCACAGAUCUAAGCAUGGAAAACAGACGGUCAGCUUGGAAAAUACAAGAACUCAUCCUGAAUUACCCAGCAAAGGGGCAGCUGACCAUCUGAGACCAGACUACGAUACGACAGAGAUUCAAGAGACAGGAGGUUGGAGCCUGAGGCCACUCGGCCAAAUUCAGUACUCCCCAUCUUCUGACACCAUCCCAUCGCCCUUGACAACCUUCUGGUUCGUUUUAUGUAAUAACUUUUUCCCCAAAGCCAUAAUCAUCAUGGUAGGAGGGAGAAUUAUGACAUCACAAAUAAUAACAGUAC
Capra hircus (goat) is the source of this 1744-nucleotide long non-coding RNA. RefSeq lists it as uncharacterized. Lineage: Eukaryota; Metazoa; Chordata; Mammalia; Artiodactyla; Bovidae. The record is from RefSeq and is a predicted model, not a curated record. The transcript has 4 exons.